This 346-nucleotide unclassified non-coding RNA is filed under the name soil metagenome. RNAcentral's name for it is "partial contains 5.8S ribosomal RNA, internal transcribed spacer 2, and large subunit ribosomal RNA". The stretch from base 1 to 120 matches the Rfam family "5.8S ribosomal RNA", at positions 35 to 154 of the family's 154-position model. The record is from RNAcentral.
GAUGAAGAACGCAGCGAAAUGCGAUACGUAAUGUGAAUUGCAGAAUUCAGUGAAUCAUCGAGUCUUUGAACGCACAUUGCGCCCCCUGGUAUUCCGGGGGGCAUGCCUGUCCGAGCGUCAUUGCUGCCCUCAAGCCCGGCUUGUGUGUUGGGUCUCGUCCCCCUUCCCGGGGGGACGGGCCCGAAAGGCAGCGGCGGCACCGUGUCCGGUCCUGGAGCGUAUGGGGCUUUGUCACCCGCUCUGUAGGCCCGGCCGGCGCUUGCCGAUCAACCAAAACUUUUUUCCAGGUUGACCUCGGAUCAGGUAGGGAUACCCGCUGAACUUAAGCAUAUCAAUAAGCGGAGGA